AGCAAGACUUUAAAAGAGCUGAGAGAGGAAGAGAGACGGACAGGAGAACGUGCUUCCCUACUGGACGCUGGACAACAGCACCACCAGCAACAGUCAGCAUCUGAGGUGACCUGGACCGCGGUAAAUGCUCGCCAGCCAAACACACUGAGGUCAGAUCUCCCUCUAGAGGAGAGAAGAGGAACAACAGCUGCACUUCACCAUGGGAGCGCCUUGAGCACUGGGUUGGAAUUUCAGGAACUGCACUGAAAUGGUUUGCCUCCUUCUUAGAAGGAUUAUUG
Long non-coding RNA from Alosa sapidissima (American shad), 278 nucleotides. RefSeq lists it as uncharacterized. The record is from RefSeq and is a predicted model, not a curated record. The transcript has 3 exons. Lineage: Eukaryota; Metazoa; Chordata; Actinopteri; Clupeiformes; Clupeidae.